CAGUAGCCGCGGGAAUACGGAGGGUGCAAGCGUUAUCCGUAUUUAUUGGGUUUAAAGGGUCCGUAGGCGGAUCUGUAAGUCAGUGGUGAAAUCUCACAGCUUAACUGUGAAACUGCCAUUGAUACUGCAGGUCUUGAGUAAAUUUGAAGUGGCUGGAAUAAGUAGUGUAGCGGUGAAAUGCAUAGAUAUUACUUAGAACACCAAUUGCGAAGGCAGGUCACUAAUAUUUAACUGACGCUGAUGGACGAAAGCGUGGGGAGCGAACAGGAUUAGAUACCCCUGUAGUCCCUGUCUCUUAUAC
Molecule: ribosomal RNA, 301 nt
Filed under: uncultured bacterium
Lineage: Bacteria
Description: partial 16S ribosomal RNA
Rfam family: Bacterial small subunit ribosomal RNA
Source: RNAcentral